This 599-nucleotide ribosomal RNA is filed under the name Naganishia albidosimilis. RNAcentral describes it as "partial large subunit ribosomal RNA". It matches the Rfam family "Eukaryotic large subunit ribosomal RNA", at positions 53 to 656 of the family's 3401-position model. Lineage: Eukaryota; Fungi; Basidiomycota; Tremellomycetes; Filobasidiales; Filobasidiaceae. The record is from RNAcentral.
GAGGAAAAGAAACUAACAAGGAUUCCCCUAGUAACGGCGAGUGAAGCGGGAAGAGCUCAAAUUUGAAAUCUGGUAGCCUUCGGUUGCCCGAGUUGUAAUCUAGAGAAAUGUUUUCCGUGCCGGCCCAUGUACAAGUCCCUUGGAACAGGGCGUCAUAGAGGGUGAGAAUCCCGUCCUUGACAUGGACCCCCGGUGCUUUGUGAUACAUUUUCAACGAGUCGAGUUGUUUGGGAAUGCAGCUCAAAAUGGGUGGUGAAUUCCAUCUAAAGCUAAAUAUUGGCGAGAGACCGAUAGCGAACAAGUACCGUGAGGGAAAGAUGAAAAGCACUUUGGAAAGAGAGUUAAACAGUACGUGAAAUUGUUGAAAGGGAAACGAUUGAAGUCAGUCAUGCUCUUUGGUAUUUAUAUCAUUGAGUGGGGUCAACAUCAGUUUUGAUCGAUGGAUAAAGGCACUAGGAAUGUAGCACUCUCGGGUGAACUUAUAGCCUAGCGUCAUAUACAUUGAUUGGGACUGAGGAACGCAGCAUGCCUUUAUGGCCGGGAUUCGUCCACGUACAUGCUUAGGAUGUUGACAUAAUGGCUUUAAACGACCCGUCUUG